UACGUAGGGGGCAAGCGUUGUCCGGAUUUAUUGGGCGUAAAGAGCGUGUAGGCGGCCAUGUAGGUCCGUUGUGAAAACUCGAGGCUCAACCUCGAGACGCCGAUGGAAACCAUGUGGCUAGAGUCCGGAAGAGGAGAGUGGAAUUCCUGGUGUAGCGGUGAAAUGCGCAGAUAUCAGGAGGAACACCAAUGGCGAAGGCAGCCCGCUGGGACGUGACUGACGCUGAGACACGAAAGCGUGGGUAGCAAACAGG
RNAcentral lists this ribosomal RNA (253 nucleotides) under uncultured bacterium. RNAcentral's name for it is "partial 16S ribosomal RNA". It matches the Rfam family "Bacterial small subunit ribosomal RNA", at positions 524 to 776 of the family's 1533-position model. The record is from RNAcentral.